UGACCUUGCGGAGGGAUCAUUACACAAAUAUGAAGGCGGGCUGGAACCUCUCGGGGUUACAGCCUUGCUGAAUUAUUCACCCUUGUCUUUUGCGUACUUCUUGUUUCCUUGGUGGGUUCGCCCACCACUAGGACAAACAUAAAACCUUUUGUAAUUGCAAUCGUCAGUAACAAAUUAAUAAUUACAACUUUCAACAACGGAUCUCUUGGUUCUGGCGGAUGAAGAACGCAGCGAAAUGACGAUAAGUAGUGUGAAUUGCAGAAUUCAGUGAAUCAUGAACGCACAUUGCGCCCUUUGGUAUUCCAAAGGGCAUGCCUGUUCGAGCGUCAUUUGAUACCCUCAAGCUUUGCUUGGUGUUGGGCCGUCUUGUCUCUAGCUUUGCUGGAGACUCGCCUUAAAGUGAAUUGGCAGCCGGCCUACUGGUUUGCGGAGCUGCAGCACCAAGUCGCACUCUCUAUCUAGCAAAGGUCUAGCAUCCAUUAAGCCUUUUUUUGCAACUUUUGACCUCGGAUCAGGUAGGGAUACCCGACCGCUUGUGUGGUAUGCAUAUCAAUAGCCGGAGGAAA
RNAcentral lists this ribosomal RNA (566 nucleotides) under Alternaria alternata. RNAcentral's name for it is "eukaryotic LSU rRNA". The stretch from base 186 to 329 matches the Rfam family "5.8S ribosomal RNA". The record is from RNAcentral. Lineage: Eukaryota; Fungi; Ascomycota; Dothideomycetes; Pleosporales; Pleosporaceae.